Molecule: long non-coding RNA, 677 nt
Filed under: Mus spretus (western wild mouse)
Lineage: Eukaryota; Metazoa; Chordata; Mammalia; Rodentia; Muridae
Description: lncRNA (ENSMSPG00010011800.1)
Source: RNAcentral
GAGACCACAAAAUGGCUGCCGGCGGCUUCGUCACGUGACCCCUUUGUGCCUUUCGGGCCCCCGAACUCCGCGGGACCCAGGUCGGGCAGAUCCUCACAGCGGAAGACCGGCAGCGGCUUCGAGGCGUCCAGCGCCCGCGCCCGAAACGACAGUUUACUCAUCUCAGGCGCAGCAGAUACCUCUCCGCUCUGGGGAAACGGCCCCGGCCAGCGGGAUCAUGGAGAACCGGAGUUUCGGUCUCCACUCGCCUGCCGCUGCCGGGGACUUGGGGGCGGAGCGCAAAGCCCGCCGUCCGGGCCCUGACACCAGCCGGGAGGGUGGGAGGCUGUGCCGCUCCGCGCCUCGCUCACUCGCUCUCUUCAAUACGCCAUGGCCAACAUGGCGGACAUUAAAACUCCACUGUGCGCUCUUCAGCCAACCCCAGCCAUUCCCCACACUGCAUCGCGCAGCGACGCGGGCACGCGCGGGGGGAGCGCGGGCUCGAGCGGGCGCCGGCGCGGCGCGGCAUGGAGCGCGCGUCCCGCCAACCCCCGGCCCGCCGGCCGCCGGCCGCCGGCCUCGCCCGCCCGCUCCGCCCGGCCGCCUCGCUUCCCGCCCUGCGCGGUGCUCAAGCGAGGGAGCGACGAGCUCGGCGCCCGCGCGGGCCCUGGGAAGCCCGGCGCGUAGAGCGGCUGCGA